This 254-nucleotide ribosomal RNA is filed under the name uncultured bacterium. RNAcentral describes it as "partial 16S ribosomal RNA". It matches the Rfam family "Bacterial small subunit ribosomal RNA", at positions 524 to 776 of the family's 1533-position model. The record is from RNAcentral.
UACGUAGGGUGCAAGCGUUAAUCGGAAUUACUGGGCGUAAAGCGUGCGCAGGCGGCUAUGCAAGACAGAUGUGAAAUCCCCGGGCUCAACCUGGGAACUGCAUUUGUGACUGCAUAGCGUAGAGUACGGUAGAGGGGGAUGGAAUUCCGCGUGUAGCAGUGAAAUGCGUAGAUAUGCGGAGGAACACCGAUGGCGAAGGCAAUCCCCUGGACCUGUACUGACGCUCAUGCACGAAAGCGUGGGGAGCAAACAGG